Molecule: ribosomal RNA, 254 nt
Filed under: uncultured bacterium
Lineage: Bacteria
Description: partial 16S ribosomal RNA
Rfam family: Bacterial small subunit ribosomal RNA
Source: RNAcentral
UACGUAGGGUGCAAGCGUUGUCCGGAAUUAUUGGGCGUAAAGAGCUCGUAGGCGGUUUGUCGCGUCUGCUGUGAAAACGCGGGGCUCAACUCCGCGCCUGCAGUGGGUACGGGCAGACUAGAGUGCAGUAGGGGAGACUGGAAUUCCUGGUGUAGCGGUGGAAUGCGCGGAUAUCAGGAGGAACACCGGUGGCGAAGGCGGUUGCCUGGGGCUUUGCUGACGCUGAUGCGCGAAAGGCGUGGGGAGCGAUCCGG